AAGUUAAUAAUUUAUUAAAAUAUUAAGUUGUGGUCUUAAAAAUGAGAAUGUAACCUCUUUAAUAUC
This 66-nucleotide transfer RNA is filed under the name Trachelipus rathkii. RNAcentral's name for it is "tRNA-His". Lineage: Eukaryota; Metazoa; Arthropoda; Malacostraca; Isopoda; Trachelipodidae. The record is from RNAcentral.